UUAAUUAAUAAUGUCUUAAAUGUGUUUGUUUCUAUUAUAAUCAAAUGUGUAAGGGAAACACUACUACAAUACUGGUUCUAUGAAUAUUUUGUUUUGUUUGUGUAAUUCUACUUAUUGUAAACUCUAUGAUUUCUGUCGUGCCAAACGAAAAAGACUUACCUUGCCCUUUUUCAAUUUCUUUUCGGCCAUUUGGCAUGUAAUUUUUUGGUGCGGAUGUAAAAACCACCACAAUAUGUAAUAACCUAUCUGUUACCGCCGUUUUGGCGGUUCGAGUCAUGGGCCUCAUCCUGGCUUUGGUGUUCCAGGAAUCUAAAUUCAUUUUUGGGAAUUGACCUCUUCAAAACAAAGGCCAGAAAUUUCAUUAUUAUUAUUUUAAGGUUAUGUAACUGUUUUCAACUUCUACGUGAUCAUCAUGCAAGUUUCUACUAUUGAACUUGAAUCAACGAAAUACGUAAUAUUGAUUUCUACACUUUGGAACAUUUCCGGCAAUUAAUUUUCAUUAUGAAGAAAGAAUUAUAAGAAGACUUCAAUAAUUUAAUAUUUGUUUGAUGAAUUAAUUUUUUAAAAAAUAUUUGUUGAUAAACUUAACCUGUUUUUACUUAAAUCUAAUAUAAAUACUUGGUACGUACCUAGUUGUCCACGAUCUCGUUACUUAAUGUAUAAUACUCAGUACCUAAUAUUUUGUUAAUAUGUUAAUUGUUUUGUUGAUGUUUGUUGUACAUUGUUAUUUUUACAAAGGCCUAUAAUUACAACCAGCACCAAUCUGAUAUUUGUGUUAUUUGUUCCCAGUGGUUUAUUCCAAUAAGUUUUAAUUCCUUUUAACAUAUUAUGUUUGUUAUAAAGGGCAAUAUAUUCUCAUGUCUCUAUAGUAAUUUAUACUAAUCCUUUCGUUAAUACAUAAUAACAUAGUACAGCAAAUGUAAACGAUCCAACAUAUCUGAAACUUUCAUGUGUUAUAGUGUCCUUGGGUAACUUCCAAUGCCACACAUUGAGGUUAUGUAGGAUGCUAUAGCAGAUGAAUACCUUUCAGUCAAAACAAUAUGUCACUAAAUGGUAGCAGAGCUUGGGUUUGCUGUUUACUAUGUUAUUAUUUUGUUUUAUAUAUACAAUUGUGAAGAAACUAAAUCAUAAUUUUAAUUUUAAGAUUUUAUAACCUUAAAUAUUUUGUUGUGUAAAAUAACUCAUAAACAUUCUCUUUUGUGUGAUAUCUCUUACCUUUUGCAAUCUUAAAUAAUUCUUUUUAUGAAUUUUAAUAGUAUUUUUAAUAUUGGUAAACUAAUUUUUUUUUGUAAUCUCUUAGCUAAUAUUUUAAAGUACAAAACUGUAAUUGUUUUAAUGAUAGAUAAUAUUAUUUGCAUAUUCUUUAUUAACAUAAUUCUAAAUGGUAUUUCAGUUUAAAUAUUGAUGCAAGUUUUGUUUGUUCAGAGAAGUUUUUGAAUACUUAUUAUUUCCCGUUUUCAUGAUACUUUAAUUUUUUUUUAAUAUCUUAUUUUGCAGAUUUUCAUGUGUUGAGUGGUCUGUGGUUUACUGUUGUUACUUCAGGGAAUUUUUUUUAAUUGAGGUUGUUUUGUUUACUUUUCGUGUAUCACCAAUUGGGGCACGUUUUUCGUUACCUAACCAUGAUAGGUAUUUUUAGUUUUUGUUGCCAUCAUUUAAUAAGUUCUUUUUAUAGCAGGUUGUUUUAAUAAUCUCUUAUGUUGUUUCUUCUGCCCAUGUUUUGUUAUAGGUCAUCUUGGGUAUGUAUUUUAGAUAUUGAUUUCUUUUCAGAGACAUUUUGCCGUUUCCCUAUUAUGUUCAUUUAAUGUGUGUUCUAGUGCUUUUCAUUGCACAGUUUAAUAAUUGAGGUUAUGGUAUUGUUUUAUAAGUAUCUAAUUUGCAGUAUAUUUAUUUUUGAAUCAAGUAUUUGGGUAAUAUAUUCUUUUUGUCUUAAAUUGUGUUGGAUCAUCAUUUAAAUUUUUUCUCUUGAGCCUAUUAAUUUUUUUCAUUUAAAUUUCACUAUUUUGCUUUGUUUUGUUUUAAUUAUUUUGUUUCAGUAAGAUGCAGUAAAAGGUCAGUGGUUUUCUUCUGUUAGAAUUUUGUCGUUUCUCUUUUGAAUCUUUUCUUUAAGCACUAAUAUAGAAAGUUUUAUAGUUUUAAUGCAUUGCAUAUUUACAAUUUUGUAUUGUCUGGAGUAAGUGACUUCCAGACGACAUUAGAUUUUGUUUAAAUGUUUUGUUGACUUUGGUCAAGUUUAGCCCGUGGGCAAACUUUUGCUAAAUUAGUUUUUCUUGUGGUGGUCCUUAGAGCUGUUGAGCCAGGACAAUUUUCUAAGUGUUAGGCUUCACCAACACUUAUUUUUGGUGACCUCUGUCAUGUUUUAAAUCUUAUGUCUGCCAUGGAAGAUCCAAUCACUCAUUUUAAUAAUGGUUUCAUUUUAGGUUAAUAAUUUGUUUUGUGAUUUUAUUGGUUUUUGAAUAAUUAAUUUUUUUUAGUGCUAACCUUGAUUUAUUGCUUUUCUAUUUUGUUUAUCUUGCUAGUGUCAUCUUUUAAAAUAAUAUUUUAAUAUAUGAGUUUGGUUUCUUGUCUUGUCAUCCAAAACAUAUACUUUUUGAAAUUUCUGUUUUGUAGGUUAUGUGUGUGUUGGUUCAUGUGGGGAUGUGGUGUGUUGUGUGUUUUACACAGCUUUCCACACGACACAGCUAUUGCACAUGUUUUCCACACAUUACACAGUGUAGUUUUAUCCACCUAAUCAGUCUUCAAUUUCUUGCAGGUUUGUUUUGUUUUAAACUUAGAUACUGUUCUUGUUUUUUAUUUGUGUACUAGGGUUGUUGCUGUAUGACAUCUCUCCGGUGGGGUGUCUGCUGCAUGGAGUUUGCUAGGGUGGUUGCAGCUUCGGCUUGGUGUUGCUGCGACUCACCGUUUCAGCCAUCUCUGGUGAAUUUCGUGUAGUGGAGUUCUGCUUGGUGAGACUGUCGUAUAGUGGCACAUUCUUCAUUGUAUGGUAUGGUUUCUACUUUGAUUUCUUCUCAUAACAUUUUCUUCGAUUAAUUACAGGCAGUUAGUUUUGUUCACUUCCCUUUUGCUGAAUCUUAGAUUUGUUCAUGUUAAAUUUUGUGUCAGUGGUCAAGCUUGCUUUUGCAGGUACUAAAUUAUUUUUUGAGUAUCUAAGGUAUGGGACUUAGUCAUUCACCUUUGGACGACCGUUUUCUUAUUUUUCUUUCAAUUUUGUGUUGUCGCUGAAUAAGCAUUUUAGAAUUUUUUAUUUUUUUUUUUUUGUGGCUCAUAUUUCUUUCGUAUUUGAUCAGUAUUGUCAAUGUAAGUAUUGUUAAACUUUGAUUAGGUAUUCUUCUAUUUGAAAUUUUUUUUAAAAUUUUAUCAUGAUGUGUUGUAUGAACUGCAGUGUUCAGAGCGGUAUCUUAAGAUCAGGAUCUUAGUGACCAGUAUCGGGAGUGUGACCUGUUGUAUUUUGGCACCUCCCAGUUUUUUUUUAAGCCGACGGGCAUUUUGUUUGAGGUGUUGUCCCUCUUUGUUGUAGCAUACGCUGGCUGUCCUGGGUACUUGUACCACCAUUCUGUCCUGUCUUGUUUCUACAAUUACACACUGAAUUUUUUUGUCCUUUGGUAUUUUGAUCUUCGAUUUAAAUUACACUUUAGCCUUGAGAUUUGUCUCUCGUAGGUGUGAGAGCAUCCUACGUUCAGCUGAUUUAUGUCGAUUUCGAGACUGAGUUUUCUAUAAUUUUUUUUGAGUGAGCAUUUAAUAAUAAUUUUUUAUUAUGCAGGGGUGUAUAGUCCCCAUUUUGUUUUAAUAAUUGUAUGAAGAGGUGUAUAUUCCUCAUUGAGUAUGGAGUUUAUAAGGAUAAUAUUUUUUUGUUUCUCAGUAAAUAUAUAGGGGUUUUAUGCUCGUGUCUGUGUUGUUUGAUUCUUCAGCAGUAUAAUGAUUUAUUUUUGAUUUCUAUAUUUAAUAUAGUCUUUUCUUUUUGACAUCAUUAAUUCUUAUGUCCUUUUUUUUUGGGUAAAUUGAAUUGUUUUUGAUGGCAACUUUUAAAGCUUUUAAAAUUUUUUUUUUAAGACGGUAGCGUCUGUUUUGAGGGGAGGAGUGUGUGCCGUUUCUAGGUAUGGCACUCGUGAUUUUAUGAGUAGGUAAUUAAUUUAUUCACAUUUCUUUUUUUUAAUUUUCAUGUUAAAUAAAUUUUAAUAUUUUUAUGCAAAGAUUGUAUUUAAUAUUUAUUUAUCUUUACAUAUUUCAUUGUUUUAAUGUUAAAGUUUUGUGUAGCUAUUUAAUUAAUAAUGUCUUAAAUGUGUUUGUUUCUAUUAUAAUCAAAUGUGUAAGGGAAACACUACUACAAUACUGGUUCUAUGAAUAUUUUGUUUUGUUUGUGUAAUUCUACUUAUUGUAAACUCUAUGAUUUCUGUCGUGCCAAACGAAAAAGACUUACCUUGCCCUUUUUCAAUUUCUUUUCGGCCAUUUGGCAUGUAAUUUUUUGGUGCGGAUGUAAAAACCACCACAAUAUGUAAUAACCUAUCUGUUACCGCAGUUUUGGGUGAGUAAAUGUUUCGUCUGUGGGAAAAGUGUAUCCCAUGAUAAUUAUUUGUUAUGUUUGGAGGUUAAUAUUUUUGUGGUUUCAUUCCAUAGCGGUUCGAGUCAUGGGCCUCAUCCUGGCUUUGGUGUUCCAGGAAUCUAAAUUCAUUUUUGGGAAUUGACCUCUUCAAAACAAAGGCCAGAAAUUUCAUUAUUAUUAUUUUAAGGUUAUGUAACUGUUUUCAACUUCUACGUGAUCAUCAUGCAAGUUUCUACUAUUGAACUUGAAUCAACGAAAUACGUAAUAUUGAUUUCUACACUUUGGAACAUUUCCGGCAAUUAAUUUUCAUUAUGAAGAAAGAAUUAUAAGAAGACUUCAAUAAUUUAAUAUUUGUUUGAUGAAUUAAUUUUUUAAAUAAUAUUUGUUGAUAAACUUAACCUGUUUUUACUUAAAUCUAAUAUAAAUACUUGGUACGUACCUAGUUGUCCACGAGCUCGUUACUUAAUGUAUAAUACUCAGUACCUAAUAUUUUGUUAAUGUGUUAAUUGUUUUGUUGAUGUUUGUUUUACAUUGUUAUUUUUACAAAGGCCUAUAAUUACAACCAGCACCAAUCU
Molecule: long non-coding RNA, 5112 nt
Organism: Bacillus rossius redtenbacheri
Lineage: Eukaryota; Metazoa; Arthropoda; Insecta; Phasmatodea; Bacillidae
Exons: 2
Source: RefSeq, a predicted model, not a curated record